Molecule: long non-coding RNA, 466 nt
Filed under: Anser brachyrhynchus (Pink-footed goose)
Lineage: Eukaryota; Metazoa; Chordata; Aves; Anseriformes; Anatidae
Description: lncRNA (ENSABRG00000015719.1)
Source: RNAcentral
AGAAUCACUCUCCUUGCAGUCAUAAAGCUAGGAAGUGCAAUGACCAGGCAUGUGGUCCUGACCUCAGACUGAGGAUCCUUGGCCUAGAGUCAAGCAGUUGCUGUAGUCACCGAAACAGCCAAAUUAACUGUCUGCUUAGCCAUGGAUUAAAAUUCAUCCACUGAUCCAAGACAAGGAGACUUCUUUUAUUACAAGAAAAGAAAAAAAAGUACAUAUGUGAUAGUAACUUUAAUUAUUGAAGGUUUUUGACACCACCGAUGAAAACGCUUCCUACAAAGUCAGCUUUGAGCAUAGCCAGUGACAAUACUGUGAAGAGAGUCUGGACAGUUUCAGUAACUUGAACUGAGAAAUAUGACCACUGACUUGGGACAGGUAUGUCUGCAUUUUGCUAAUACUUCCUUCACUAGCCUGAAAACAUGGUGAUUCUUGUGGAACACUCUUAGCUUUACCUGUCUCAACACAGAGC